Long non-coding RNA from Peromyscus leucopus (white-footed mouse), 1978 nucleotides. RefSeq lists it as uncharacterized. NCBI's taxonomy places the organism in Eukaryota, Metazoa, Chordata, Mammalia, Rodentia, Cricetidae. The transcript is spliced from 2 exons. The record is from RefSeq and is a predicted model, not a curated record.
GGCGGGCCCUACGCGGGCCAGGCGCGACAGUUCUGCAAGCCCAGGACUGCGGCGUACCGGAGGGACCAAGGCAGCCCGUGGCUCCCUCAUACUGCCAGCUUCGCGUCUAACAUCCGCAGGACUCGGGCUACCUGAGGGUGGAGAGGGUCACUGGCUCCCUGGGCGGAGGAUGCGGAAGGCCCUGAACUAGGAGGGGACCGGCCCUCCGAGCCCCACCCGAACCCGGAACUGGUGCGCCGGAAUGGGGCCCGGCCCCUUGAGAGCGAGCGGAACCUGGAGUGGGACGUCCGCGCUGCCGCCACUGUUGCUGAAUGCCUGCUAUCACGACCAAGAAAGCAGCCUUUAGGUACCAAAAGAUGACAGGUGGCUAAGCCAUGAGGAUCCCUGCCCGCACUUCCUGGUUACCAGACAGGGUAGUUGUGAGGAAGACGUGGGUAAAAAGAUUAGAAUAUUGGAUUCAAUAAAUGCUGGCCGUUUCGUUAUACUUUCCUACAUUAUCUGCAGAGGAUCAGCCUGAUUGCCUAAUGAGGCGCUUCCUCGCGCCAUACAGUGACUCAGAAAUCCCUCUUUGUUUUCAGGACUGAAGAUUGAACCUAGAGCCUCAUACAUACUAGGCUAAUGCUCUUACACUGAACUGAAACCCCAGCCCCAGAAAUUCGCUUUUCAAAAUGUUUUCUCGAGUUAUCUAGAAUGCAAGAAACCUAGGAUGCAAAUCUUGGUCACAAUACCUACCUACCAGACUUGCUCACCCUCUGUUUAAAAACCAAAUCAGGUCGUGAGAGAGGGGAUCAGUAAACUUCAUCUCUGAGCUCAUAGACAAGUGAAAGCCUUCAGGGACAAGCCACCAGCAGAGAAAGCAUCCAGGUUGAACAAAGGUCUGGCAGAUCACAGGAAGAAGCCCCGGCCCAGUGUCUUCAGGGUUCAGAAAGUGCAGCCAAAAGAACAGAAAUAAAUGGGUACAGACGCUCAGAUUCCUCACACACCCUCCGCCUGGGACACUCAGCUGAGCCUUAUGUGGAGUCCAAGGGUGGAACAAGGCUAAUGUUCUUUGGAAAAGAGGCUUGGUCUGGGACUCCAGGGAACUGGAUUUGGUUGCCUGCCCCUGACCUUGAUCCCUGAGCCAGCAGCAGUGAUGGAGGGAAGCAUCUUCAAGCCACACCAUGUCUCUGGGGCAUCUGCAUCUGCUGCAGAUUCCUUUACCACUCCUGGCCUCCUGCUAUUCUCUUUGAAUCCCUGACUCAGCGCGCCCCAGUCCAGAGAGCAGAACCAGCUAUGUGUUUAUAAUGCCAAGAAAAAACUUCAGGCAGUAUGCUUUGCUGACUUCUUCACUGACCCUGAAUCACUUCCUCUUCCAACUUAACCCCUUGCUCUCUUCUCUUCCAGUCUGCUAAACUGAAGAGCCUAACACAUAGACUGUGUUCUGUGUUGGCCAAUAGAAACAGAAUCCAAGCCACACAUUUAAUCCCAGCACUUGGGAGGCAGAGACAGGCAGAUGUCAGUGAGUUCGAGGCCAGCCGGCUCUCCUAAAUGGACAUUCUCCAGCAAGCCUGCGACUGUGGCCAUCUGUUCAUUUAGUCAACAAGCAUGUAUUGAAGAGCUACCAGGACCCGGUGAGGAAUGGAGCUACAGGGAUGAGCGGGAUCCUGGGCUCUUCCUCUCCCUCCCUCUUUCCAGCAGUAAGGAUUGAACUAAGGACCUCAGCCAUGCGAAGCGCUCUCUCCACAGCCACCUCUUUUGGAGAGGGUCUCAUAGUGUGUCCCUGGUUUGUCUGGAACUCAUUACAAAUUCAUAGCAUCUUCCUGCUUUUGCCUCUCAAGUGCUAGGAUUAAAAGUGUGCACCACCACACCUGGUUUAACUUUUAAUUUUGAGAAACAGCCUCAGCCUCUGAAAUAGCUGGGAUUGCAGGCGUGUGCCAGUAAUCAGUAAUCUCAGACCAGGAAGAGAUCAUAUUUUUAAAUAAAUUGUGCGUGAACAUGU